AAGUCGUAACAAGGUUUCCGUAGGUGAACCUGCGGAAGGAUCAUUAUUGAAAUAAACCUGAUAGGUUGUUGCUGGCUUCCUAGCAUGUGCACACCUUGUCAUCUUUAUAUCUCCACCUGUGCAUCUUUUGUAGACCUUUCAGGUCUAUGUUGCUUCAUUUACCCCAAUGUAUGUUAAUAGGAUGUUGUGACUAUAUAAAAUCUAUACAACUUUCAGCAACGGAUCUCUUGGCUCUC
RNAcentral lists this unclassified non-coding RNA (236 nucleotides) under Cortinarius centrirufus. Its description in RNAcentral is "partial internal transcribed spacer region". The stretch from base 1 to 46 matches the Rfam family "Eukaryotic small subunit ribosomal RNA", at positions 1786 to 1831 of the family's 1831-position model. The record is from RNAcentral. Lineage: Eukaryota; Fungi; Basidiomycota; Agaricomycetes; Agaricales; Cortinariaceae.